CAUUCUUGUCAAUUAUUGUAAGAUUUCCAAUUUCACUUCAUAAUCAAUAUGUGUUUUAUUUUAUUCAUAUUAUUAGGUGUUUACAACAUCCAGAUAGUGAUUAAGAAACUUACUACCAAAAAUGUUGAUAUGGUGGAGCUCUAUGCUGAUGUAAGGGGAGCGGUGUCCAUAGAGAAUAUAUUGGGUUCUGAUGCCAUCAGCAUCCCUAUGCAACACUUUGCUUUGGAGGGUCAGACACCAAAAACAAGAAAAUAAAACUCCUUUUAUGUCCUCAAUAAAUGCCUGUUAACAAAUGACAAGCAGAUAUGGAACAAAUACUCAAGCACACACUGAUACAGAACAUGUGCUAGUUCAGGGAAGUUGGUAUAUUUGCACUGAGUUGUGAAAAAUUUCAAAACUUGGAUGCUGAAAGCUCUUUUUUACAUUGAAGCUUCAUCAUCAACAAAUGCCGUGAAAUACCACACAAAACUGCUAAAAUUACAUGGGCCUAUGGAGAAAGCGCUGCUUUCUCGUUCUUCCAUAGACCGUAUCUCUCAUUCUUAGGACCAGGGGCACUUACUCAAAUGAACGCUUUACUUGGGUUAUUUCUGUUUUCUCUUCACUCUGAAGAAGAUAGACUCUUUAGGAUCAUUCUGAAUAUUUCAAUGUCUCAGUAGGCGAGCAGUCUGGGACUGCUUAUGGGUUUAACUACAACAAACAUUUGCUCAUCACUGUUUUUCAGAAAGCACCCAGGCUGUACAGAAAUGGGCCAACACAUUUGUGCUAGCCAUGGGCACUCUAGCUAUAUGAGGCAUGCACAAAAAAUCUAAUUAAAUCCUAGAAAUCCAACUCAAAAGGAGCAUUCUGGAUUCAUGAUGUAUUGUGUCUGUAAGCGAUUGCUAGUCUUUGCAAGACAAAGGAUAUGUGAGCGAACCUACCAUAAGGAGAUGCUCUUAAUUGGACCCAAGACAAGAGCACAGCAAAACAGGGCUUAAAUGAUGAGCAAGGAUAUCACCUCUUCUGAAAGUAUUUCUACGGACAAUAUGACCCCGUGCAUUACAAGAAGGAGAAGCUCUAAGUUCAGGACAAUAACUGGAACAGGAUGUGUGUCUUGAAGAGGUUGAGGCAGAUAAAUAUACUGAAUACACCACACUGUCCUGACCAGGCCAGGAAGUCUAGUGUGUACUGGGUUCCCAAGACUGAUGAUACACCUACCUCUAAUGACGUGGUCCCUCCGAAAUAUCCACUCUAGCCUGCAGGAGAAUUGCCACAGCCUCAGGAAUAUGGGGCUGGGCUGGAGGGUGUCAGUUGAACUUCUCGGCAUUCUCACGUGGCUCUCACUCUUUUGGACUUACUAUCUGCGAUUGCACAUCUGCCAGUGUCCUUUGUCUGUUAUUGGAGAAUGCUGCUGGCCUCUUUGCUGUGUAUCCUGAUUGCAGUGACUUCCUUCUGUAGCUUCUAGAUAAGCAAAUUUUCUUGAUUUAUCAGGAGGUGUCUUUGGUCUCUCAGUCAAUUCGAUCUUAUUAUUGACAUUUAUCAACAUGGUGGGUGUAAGAUCUUUUAAUCUAACAAGUUACAUACAUACAUUUUCAAAUACUAAGUGAUUCUUGCGUUGCUGGAAUGCAUGCUACUAGUUUGUAAGCCUUUAAAAUUUUUUUCAUAUAUUACUGGAACAAAAUAUAUUCAAGAAUUUAUUAUAUGAUAACAUAAGUUACUUCUCAAUUCAGUGUGGUAAAGAUGGACUUUCAAUAUAAGGUGUUGUGAAAAGUGGGUAAGAUAUAGAAAAAUGUUAAAUUAGAUUCAUCUUUUACACUGUACACCAAUGUACUCUACAAAUAUGCCCAUGAUUAAAUGUAAACUAUGAUGCAAAAAGGUAAAGGUACAAGAAGAAAAUAUCUGUGCAUUCCCCUAUAAGUCUGGAGUAGAAAAAGUCUUUCUAAACCAAGUCUCAAAAUGCAGAAACCAAGGAUAAGAAAAAGGUUGAUAAAGUAGAUACAUAAAAAUAGAAAAGUUCUACAUGGCAAAAGACACCACGAACAAAUCUAAAACGAUUACGAAUUGAGACGAAGCAUUUGAAAUAUAGAGCAGGAGCAACACUUUAAAUGCCCCUAGAUGCUUUCUCUAAUCCUUUAAAAGCUCCUGGAAAUUGAGAAGAAAAAGAUCAACUUGAAACAAAACCUACAGUUCACAGAAAAAGAAACACAAAGGAUCCCACCAUAUGAAGAGAUGUUCAACCUUACUCAUAAUAAGAAAAAAGCACAUAAAAACUACUCUAAGAUAAUCCUGUUCAGCACCAGAUUACCAAAGCUCCCAACAGCAAGCGGGGGAAGAAAGCGUGUACACAUCGCUUGAAUAGGCAUCCAAAAUGGAGCCAACGACAGGAGGGCAAUUUGGCCAGACCAGC
Long non-coding RNA from Equus caballus (horse), 2383 nucleotides. NCBI's taxonomy places the organism in Eukaryota, Metazoa, Chordata, Mammalia, Perissodactyla, Equidae. The record is from Ensembl.